This 486-nucleotide ribosomal RNA is filed under the name uncultured bacterium. RNAcentral's name for it is "bacterial SSU rRNA". It matches the Rfam family "Bacterial small subunit ribosomal RNA", at positions 28 to 507 of the family's 1533-position model. The record is from RNAcentral.
GAUGAACGCUAGCUACAGGCUUAACACAUGCAAGUCGAGGGGCAGCACUAGGUAGCAAUACUGAGGUGGCGACCGGCGCACGGGUGCGUAACGCGUAUCCAACCUUCCCGUUACUCAGGGAUAGCCUUCCGAAAGGGAGAUUAAUACCUGAUGGUGUUCAAAUUCCGCAUGUUAUUUGAACUAAAGAUUUAUCGGUAACGGAUGGGGAUGCGUGACAUUAGGUAGAUGGCGGGGUAACGGCCCACCAUGCCUACGAUGUCUAGGGGUUCUGAGAGGAAGGUCCCCCACACUGGAACUGAGACACGGUCCAGACUCCUACGGGAGGCAGCAGUGAGGAAUAUUGGUCAAUGGUCGGAAGACUGAACCAGCCAAGUAGCGUGAAGGAUGAAGGUUCUAUGGAUUGUAAACUUCUUUUAUACGGGAAUAAAACCACCUACGUGUAGGUGCUUGUAUGUACCGUGUGAAUAAGCAUCGGCUAACUCCGUG